AGUGAACGCUGGCGGUAGGCCUAACACAUGCAAGUCGAACGGCAGCACAGUAAGAGCUUGCUCUUACGGGUGGCGAGUGGCGUACGUGUGAGGAAUACAUCGGAAUCUACUUUUUCGUGUAGGAUAACGUAGGGAAACUUACUCUAAUACCGCAUACGACCUACGGGUGAAAGCAGUGGAUCUUCGGACCUUGCGCGAUUGAAUGAGCCGAUGUCGGAUUAGCUAGUUGGCGGGGUAAAGGCCCACCAAGGCGACGAUCCGUAGCUGGUCUGAGAGGAGGAUCAGCCACACUGGAACUGAGACACGGUCCAGACUCCUACGGGAGGCAGCAGUGGCGAAUAUUGGGCAAUGGGCGCAAGCCUGAUCCAGCCAUACCGCGUGGGUGAAGAAGGCCUUCGGGUUGUAAAGCCCUUUUGUUGGGAAAGAACAGCAGCAGGUUAAUACCCCGCUGUUCUGACGGUACCCAAAGAAUAAGCACCGGCUAACUUCGUG
Molecule: ribosomal RNA, 492 nt
Filed under: uncultured bacterium
Lineage: Bacteria
Description: partial 16S ribosomal RNA
Rfam family: Bacterial small subunit ribosomal RNA
Source: RNAcentral